CCUACGGGAGGCAGCAGUGAGGAAUAUUGGUCAAUGGACGAGAGUCUGAACCAGCCAAGUAGCGUGAAGGAUGACUGCCCUAGGGGUUGUAAACUUCUUUUAUAUGGGAAUAAAACAGGGUAUGUAUAGCAUAUUGUAUGUACCAUAUGAAUAAGGAUCGGCUAACUCCGUGCCAGCAGCCGCGGUAAUACGGAGGAUCCGAGCGUUAUCCGGAUUUAGUGGGUUUAAAGGGAGCGUAGGUGGAUUGUUAAGUCAGUUGUGAAAGUUUGCGGCUCAACCGUAAAAUUGCAGUUGAAACUGGCAGUCUUGAGUACAGUAGAGGUGGGCGGAAUUCGUGGUGUAGCGGUGAAAUGCGUAGAUAUCACGAAGAACUCUGAUUGCGAAGGCAGCUCACUGGACUGCAACUGACACUGAUGCUCGAAAGUGUGGGUAGCAAACAGGAUUAGAUACCCGAGUAGUC
This 460-nucleotide ribosomal RNA is filed under the name uncultured bacterium. Its description in RNAcentral is "partial 16S ribosomal RNA". It matches the Rfam family "Bacterial small subunit ribosomal RNA", at positions 338 to 795 of the family's 1533-position model. The record is from RNAcentral.